GCAAACUUGGUCAUUUAGAGGAAGUAAAAGUCGUAACAAGGUCUCCGUUGGUGAACCAGCGGAGGGAUCAUUAAAAGAGUUAAAAACUCCUUUAAACCAUCGCGGAAUAUACCUAUUAGUUGCUUCGGCGGGAGGCCUUGAGCCCUCGGCCCCGCCCGGGGCGCCCGCCGGAGGUUCGAACACUCUGUUUUACCGGAACUCUCUGAGACAGCGAUUAAACGCAAAAAACUUUCAACAACGGAUCUCUUGGUUGUGGCAUCGAUGAAGAACGCAGC
Molecule: unclassified non-coding RNA, 275 nt
Filed under: uncultured fungus
Lineage: Eukaryota; Fungi
Description: partial contains small subunit ribosomal RNA, internal transcribed spacer 1, and 5.8S ribosomal RNA
Rfam family: Eukaryotic small subunit ribosomal RNA (bases 1-73)
Source: RNAcentral